GAUCAUGGCUCAGGAUGAACGCUAGCGACAGGCUUAACACAUGCAAGUCGAGGGGCAGCGGGGAGUAGCAAUACUUCGCCGGCGACCGGCGCACGGGUUAGUAACACGUGUGCAACCAACCCCGUACCGGGAGAUAACCCGCGGAAACGUGGACUAACAUCCCAUAAUACUGGAGGAUCGCAUGAUCUUUCAUUUAAAAUUCCGGUGGUACGGGACGGGCACGCGCGACAUUAGGUAGUUGGCGGGGUAACGGCCCACCAAGCCG
Molecule: ribosomal RNA, 265 nt
Filed under: uncultured bacterium
Lineage: Bacteria
Description: partial 16S ribosomal RNA
Rfam family: Bacterial small subunit ribosomal RNA
Source: RNAcentral